Molecule: ribosomal RNA, 433 nt
Filed under: uncultured bacterium
Lineage: Bacteria
Description: partial 16S ribosomal RNA
Rfam family: Bacterial small subunit ribosomal RNA
Source: RNAcentral
AACGAACGCUGGCGGCAGGCCUAACACAUGCAAGUCGAGCGGACCCUUCGGGGUUAGCGGCGGACGGGUGAGUAACGCGUGGGAAUAUGCCCUUCUCUACGGAAUAGUCCUGGGAAACUGGGGGUAAUACCGUAUACGCCCUUUGGGGGAAAGAUUUAUCGGGGAAGGAUUAGCCCGCGUUGGAUUAGGUAGUUGGUGGGGUAAUGGCCUACCAAGCCGACGAUCCAUAGCUGGUUUGAGAGGAUGAUCAGCCACACUGGGACUGAGACACGGCCCAGACUCAUACGGGAGGAAGCAGUGGGGAAUCUUAGACAAUGGGGGCCACCCUGAUAUAGCCAUGCCGCGUGAGUGAUGAAGGCCUUAGGGUUGUAAAGCUCUUUCAGCUGGGAAGAUAAUGACGGUACCAGCAGAAGAAGCCCCGGCUAACUCCGUG